ACAUCUGUAUAUACCUUUGUUCC
RNAcentral lists this microRNA (23 nucleotides) under Drosophila melanogaster (fruit fly). RNAcentral describes it as "piRNA piR-dme-26490913". The record is from RNAcentral. Lineage: Eukaryota; Metazoa; Arthropoda; Insecta; Diptera; Drosophilidae. RNAcentral also lists the same sequence under 1 other name.